AAGCUCGUAGUUGAAUUUCGGGGUUCUACCGUUGGUCGGGCAAUAGUCUGUACUGGCGUGUAGAAUUUCUACCUUCUGGGGAACCAUCAUGUUAUUUAUUUAGCGUGGUGGGAAACCAGGACCUUUACCUUGAAAAAAUUAGAGUGUUCAAAGCAGGCUUACGUCUGAAUACAUUAGCAUGGAAUAAUAAAAUAGGACGGUGGUCCUGUUUUGUUGGUUUCUGAAUCACCGUAAUGAUUAAUAGGGAUAGUUGGG
Molecule: ribosomal RNA, 255 nt
Filed under: uncultured Gigaspora
Lineage: Eukaryota; Fungi; Glomeromycota; Glomeromycetes; Diversisporales; Gigasporaceae
Description: partial 18S ribosomal RNA
Rfam family: Eukaryotic small subunit ribosomal RNA
Source: RNAcentral